AUACGGAGGGUACAAGCGUUAUCCGGAAUCAUUGGGUUUAAAGGGUCCGUAGGCGGGAAUCUAAGUCAGUGGUGAAAUCUUGCAGCUCAACUGUAAAAUUGCCAUUGAUACUGGAUUUCUUGAAUUAGUGUGAAGUGGUUAGAAUGUGUAGUGUAGCGGUGAAAUGCAUAGAUAUUACACAGAAUACCAAUUGCGAAGGCAGAUCACUAACACUAUAUUGACGCUGAGGGACGAAAGCGUGGGGAGCGAACAGGAUUAGAAACCCUAGUAGUCC
This 274-nucleotide ribosomal RNA is filed under the name uncultured bacterium. RNAcentral's name for it is "partial 16S ribosomal RNA". It matches the Rfam family "Bacterial small subunit ribosomal RNA", at positions 523 to 796 of the family's 1533-position model. The record is from RNAcentral.